RNAcentral lists this long non-coding RNA (494 nucleotides) under Bos taurus (domestic cattle). RNAcentral's name for it is "long non-coding RNA NONBTAT022978". The record is from RNAcentral. Lineage: Eukaryota; Metazoa; Chordata; Mammalia; Artiodactyla; Bovidae.
UGAUAGCGACAGCUAGGACAUGGGAUUUGCUGUGUCUUGGAGAUGCUCAGAACGCUUUGGGCUCCACGUGAUCAUGGAUACCAUCACAAAGCACCAUCUCCCCGCACAACUGAUGGCUGUCUUUCCUCCUGCUUCUCCACUGCACAAGAAGUCCCUAUAGGGUGGGACUUGGUUUGCUGGACCCAGGGCCUGGUGCAGACAAGGGAGGGCAAUUAAAGUCUGUUCAAUGACUUAAUGAUUGUCAAGUGCAUAUCAAUUUGUAAAAGGGAAACUGAAGCCAUUUGCACCCGCAUGGUGCCUGAUCUGCACGUGGACCUGUGUCUAAGUAGGAGGGACAGCAAAAUAGAAGAAGCUUUAGGAAGUGUCUGUUCUCCAGGCUCUGGCAGGCCUCAUGACUAUGUCAUAUCUUGCUGUAUUUGAUGUGAUGUCUUUUGCAGACAUCAACAUUUUGCUUUUCCAACUGGUUGGUAAGCUUCUUUUAAAGAUGCUUGGCA